AUUGAACGCUGGCGGCAGGCCUAACACAUGCAAGUCGAACGGUAACAGGAAGCAGCUUGCUGCUUUGCUGACGAGUGGCGGACGGGUGAGUAAUGUCUGGGAAACUGCCCGAUGGAGGGGGAUAACUACUGGAAACGGUAGCUAAUACCGCAUAACGUCGCAAGACCAAAGCGGGGGACCUUAGGGCCUCUUGCCAUCGGAUGUGCCCAGAUGGGAUUAGCUAGUAGGUGGGGUAACGGCUCACCUAGGCGACGAUCCCUAGCUGGUCUGAGAGGAUGACCAGCAACACUGGAACUAGGACACGGUCCAGACUCCUACGGGAGGCAGCAGUGGGGAAUAUUGCACAAUGGGCGCAAGCCUGAUGCAGCCAUGCCGCGUGUAUAAAGAAGGCCUUCGGGUUGUAAAGGACUUUCAGCGGGGAGGAAGAGAGUAAAGUUAAUACCUUUGCUCAUUGACGUUACCCGCAGAAGAGGCACCGGCUAACUCCGUG
This 490-nucleotide ribosomal RNA is filed under the name uncultured bacterium. RNAcentral describes it as "partial 16S ribosomal RNA". It matches the Rfam family "Bacterial small subunit ribosomal RNA", at positions 30 to 507 of the family's 1533-position model. The record is from RNAcentral.